CAUCUCGUGUGUCCUGGAAAUUCCCUCUGCUGGGUCCUCAGACUGCCACAGAGGAGCAUUGGGUGGCUCAGGCACCUCAUCCAUUAGAGACUUCACGCUGACCCCCAGGCCUGGGGCGGCCCCACUUGGGAUGGCUCUGCUGCUGUGGAGGGUGGAGGGCAUGGCAGGGGCUGAACCCGAGCCCACUGUGUCUGUUGCAGAGCCCCCCGGGCCCAUUGACAACAGCAGGAUUGCACAGGUCAAAGGAAGCGGCCACGUCCAGCUGAAGCAGGGAGCUGACUACGGGCAGAUUUCGGAGGAGACCUGGACCUACCUGAACAGCCUGUAUGGAGGUGGCCCCGAGAUUGCCAUCCGCCAGAGCGUGGCGCAGCCGCUGGGCCCAGAGAGCCUGCACGGGGAGCAGAAGAUCGAAGCCGAGACGCGGGCUGUGUGAUCUGCUGGGCUCGUCUCCCCACGUGCCCCACCCCGCGGAAGGCGUGUUUGUGCCCAGAAGAGAGGCCGGGCUGCUGCAGAACCCCGCCGUGUAAAGAGGCAGAAAAGUUGGUUUGGUUCGCAGUGAGUAACGCUGCAACUAGAAAAUAUAUGCACUUCAGGCUUGUUGAAACGACCAAGACUCUGUGACGUUAAUUUGGGUCUUUGUCCUGGCAGUGCCUCUGCCAGUCACUGUCAUCGUUGUGUCCCCCACAACUGUCCUCUUGCUAGCUCGGCCCAGCUUUGUCCCUGGAGCCCGAUGCUACCCCUGUCAGACAGAGGCUGCGGCCUGGGCCAGAGUCAGGGAGUAGCUGCUGCUUCACGGCGUCUCCACUGUGCUAUUGGCCCGGACCCCCGAAGACUUGGAGGGAGCUGCUCAGGGCCGGUGAGCGCAGCCAGAAGCCCUGGCCAGUGAGGAGCUCACAGGUCCUCCCUGGUGGUCCCGCCGCACCUCUGCAUCUCCUGGGCGUCACCAGGAAGGCUCUGAAGUCCCGGGCUGCUCUCAGCACUUCUCCUGCAGACUGAAGACUCUGGACUCAUUGCUGAUUGGAACACCAGGAGGAGGUUGGAUUUCUGCCAGUGGGGGAUGUUUCUGGAGGCAGCUGGUCCCCCACACCGCGUCCUGCUGAGCCUGCCCCCUGGAUUGGCUGUAAUUUGCCUCGAAGUUCAGCAGUGCAUCUUCAUGGGAAAUUUGCUGAGCCCCCACCAGGGAACCAGAUGAUGAAACAGGGAUACCUCACAGCUUGGCCAUUUGCUGCAAAGGCAGCUUCCCGAGCUGAUGCUAAAGAAGACAGACUUUCCCUUCGUCCCAGCAGCAGCAGUGCGGAGCCCGCCUGGAGGCAUGUGGGGGCUGUGCAGGGUGCAGCGCUCAGGUGGAUCCUGGGAAGCAGCCUCUGGAUGCUGAGUGGAGGGAGCCACUGAGCACAGCAAGGCACCAAAGCCCCUGGAGAAACCGCCAGGGCGAGGUGCGGCCAUCAUCAGGGUCAAAGCAGACGGGGCGUGGGUGGGGAAGGGGCUCUGGGACCAGACCCCCCACACUACUGCGUCUUUGUUUCUAUCAGUCUUUGUAGAAGCAGAUGGUGGUGGAAAUUCCAGCAGGUGGGUCCCGCAGAGGCCCUGAGGCCUCACUUUUCGGAUCUUCUGUCCCAGAUCCUGCUCCCUCCCUGCUGAGCCUGGGGUUCCCCUGGCAUUGGCCCCAGCCUUCUGAAAGCUGGCGCUGCAGCCAGAGGCCACACGCUGCACUGUCGCGACGCAGAGAGGCUUCUGUGCAGGCUGGGAUCGGGCCCCAUGUCUGUGCUGUCUAGUUUGUGUUCAAAAUGUCAGAAUAAACACAGAAUAAACGUU
This 1815-nucleotide small RNA is filed under the name Pan troglodytes (chimpanzee). Its description in RNAcentral is "processed transcript". The record is from RNAcentral. Lineage: Eukaryota; Metazoa; Chordata; Mammalia; Primates; Hominidae.